This 380-nucleotide ribosomal RNA is filed under the name uncultured eukaryote. RNAcentral's name for it is "partial 18S ribosomal RNA". It matches the Rfam family "Eukaryotic small subunit ribosomal RNA", at positions 592 to 976 of the family's 1831-position model. The record is from RNAcentral.
CAAUAGCGUAUAUUAAAGUUGUUGCGGUUAAAAAGCUCGUAGUUGGAUUUCUGCUGAGAACGACCGGUCCGCCCUUUGGGUGUGUAUCUGGCUCUUUCUUGGCAUCUUCUUGGUGAACGUUGCUGCACUUGACUGUGUGGAGCGCUACCCAGGACUUUUACUUUGAGGAAGUUAGAGUGUUUCAAGCAGGCAUACGCCUUGAAUACAUUAGCAUGGAAUAAUAAGAUAGGACCUCGGUUCUAUUUUGUUGGUUUCUAGAGCUGAGGUAAUGAUUAAUAGGGAUAGUUGGGGACAUUCGUAUUUAACCGUCAGAGGUGAAAUUCUUGGAUUUGUUAAAGACGGACUACUGCGAAAGCAUUUGCCAAGGAUGUUUNCAUUGA